RNAcentral lists this ribosomal RNA (442 nucleotides) under uncultured bacterium. RNAcentral describes it as "partial 16S ribosomal RNA". It matches the Rfam family "Bacterial small subunit ribosomal RNA", at positions 338 to 795 of the family's 1533-position model. The record is from RNAcentral.
CCUACGGGAGGCAGCAGUGGGGAAUAUUGGGCAAUGGGCGCAAGCCUGACCCAGCAAUGCCGCGUGAAGGAAGAAGGCUUUCGGGUUGUAAACUUCUUUGACAGGGGAAGAGCAGAAGACGGUACCCUGAAAACAAGCCACGGCUAACUACGUGCCAGCAGCCGCGGUAAUACGUAGGUGGCAAGCGUUGUCCGGAUUUACUGGGUGUAAAGGGCGUGUAGCCGGGAAGGCAAGUCAGAUGUGAAAUCUGGAGGCUCAACCUCCGAAUUGCAUUUGAAACUGUUUUUCUUGAGUACUGGAGCGGCAGACGGAAUGCCUUGUGUAGCGGUGAAAUGCGUAGAGAUAAGGAGGAACACCAGUGGCGAAGGCGGUCUGCUGGACAGCAACUGACGGUGAGGCGCGAAAGCGUGGGGAGCAAACAGGAUUAGAUACCCUAGUAGUC